GGGUAUAUAGCUCAGUGGUAGAGUGUGUGCCUAGCAUGCACGAGGUCCUGGGUUCAGUUCCGAGGACCUCCA
Molecule: transfer RNA, 72 nt
Filed under: Camelus bactrianus (Bactrian camel)
Lineage: Eukaryota; Metazoa; Chordata; Mammalia; Artiodactyla; Camelidae
Also listed under: 2 other names
Rfam family: tRNA
About the family: Transfer RNA (tRNA) molecules are approximately 80 nucleotides in length.
Source: Rfam by way of RNAcentral